This 820-nucleotide ribosomal RNA is filed under the name uncultured bacterium. RNAcentral describes it as "bacterial SSU rRNA". It matches the Rfam family "Bacterial small subunit ribosomal RNA", at positions 605 to 1426 of the family's 1533-position model. The record is from RNAcentral.
CAGCUCAACUGCCGAAGUGCCUUUGAUACUGACGGGCUUGAAUGCAGCUGAAGUGGGCGGAAUGUGACAAGUAGCGGUGAAAUGCAUAGAGAUGUCACAGAACACCGAUUGCGAAGGCAGCUCACUAAAGUGCGAUUGACGCUGAGGCACGAAAGCGUGGGGAUCAAACAGGAUUAGAUACCCUGGUAGUCCACGCCCUAAACGAUGAACACUCGAUGUUGGCGAUAUACGGUCAGCGUCUAAGCGAAAGCGUUAAGUGUUCCACCUGGGGAGUACGCCCGCAAGGGUGAAACUCAAAGGAAUUGACGGGGGCCCGCACAAGCGGAGGAGCAUGUGGUUUAAUUCGAUGAUACGCGAGGAACCUUACCCGGGCUUGAAAGUUAGCGAAUGGGGCAGAGACGUCCCAGUCCCUUCGGGGACGCGAAACUAGGUGCUGCAUGGCUGUCGUCAGCUCGUGCCGUGAGGUGUUGGGUUAAGUCCCGCAACGAGCGCAACCCCUGUGAAUAGUUGCCAGCACGUCAAGGUGGGGACUCUAUUCAGACUGCCUGUGCAAACAGAGAGGAAGGAGGGGACGACGUCAAGUCAUCAUGGCCCUUACGUCCGGGGCUACACACGUGCUACAAUGGAGGGUACAGCGGGCAGCUACCUGGCAACAGGAUGCCAAUCUCGUAAAGCCCUUCACAGUUCGGAUCGGGGUCUGCAACUCGACCCCGUGAAGUUGGAUUCGCUAGUAAUCGCGUAUCAGCAAUGACGCGGUGAAUACGUUCCCGGGCCUUGUACACACCGCCCGUCAAGCCAUGGAAGCUGGGGGUACCUGAAG